UAUCCAUAACACCUGUGCACUUGUCGGAUGGCUUAGUGAAGACCGCAAGGUUGAAUCUAUCCAUCUACUUUACAUAACAAUUCUGUAACAAAUGUAGUCUUAUUAUAACAUAAUAAAACUUUCAACAACGGAUCUCUUGGCUCUCGCAUCGAUGAAGAACGCAGCGAAAUGCGAUAAGUAAUGUGAAUUGCAGAAUUCAGUGAAUCAUCGAAUCUUUGAACGCACCUUGCGCUCCUUGGUAUUCCGAGGAGCAUGCCUGUUUGAGUGUCAUGAAAACCCUCAACCCUAGAUUGGUUAAAACCUUUCUUUGGUUUGGAUUUGGACGUUUGCCGAUGAUAAGUCGGCUCGUCUUAAAAGUAAUAGCUGGAUCUGUCUCGCGACAUGGUUUGACUUGGCGUAAUAAGUAUUUCGCUAAGGACAUCUUCGGAUGGCCGCGUUGCAGGACUAAAGACCGCUUUCUAAUCCAUUGAUCUUCGGAUUAAUACUCUUGACAUCUGGCCUCAAAUCAGGUAGGACUACCCGCUGAACUUAA
This 532-nucleotide ribosomal RNA is filed under the name Naganishia albida. RNAcentral describes it as "eukaryotic LSU rRNA". The stretch from base 117 to 270 matches the Rfam family "5.8S ribosomal RNA". The record is from RNAcentral. Lineage: Eukaryota; Fungi; Basidiomycota; Tremellomycetes; Filobasidiales; Filobasidiaceae.